This is a long non-coding RNA of Rhincodon typus (whale shark), 3264 nucleotides long. RefSeq lists it as uncharacterized. The record is from RefSeq and is a predicted model, not a curated record. Lineage: Eukaryota; Metazoa; Chordata; Chondrichthyes; Orectolobiformes; Rhincodontidae. The transcript is spliced from 2 exons.
GGUUGUAGGUUUGGAAGAUGCCAAGAAGCCUUGAUGAAUUCCUGCAUUGUAUUUUGUCGAUGGUACACACAUCUGUUACUGAGCAUUGCUAUGGCUAGUUUUGUUUUUUCUUACUACCUUUCCAUGAAGCGAGUGAAGACUGAUCUCUUCCUGCUCCUCCUCCUCAUUACAGGUGAAUGGAGAUGUAUCUGCGACAGUGACACCCACACCAGCACCAUCUUCAAACUCCUCAUCUUCUCCAUCAACUCCAACAACUCCAUCCAGGGAUACAAGUGCCCCAAUAGUCAAGCCCCAGCUUGACGGUGACAAAACGGCCGGUGAGGUGGGUCUGAGCCUCAGUACCUCUGCAGCAGAGGCCAAGGAGAAGGUGCAUUCGAAACGCUCCAGUAAGCGGGCCCCACAGAUGGACUGGAGCAAGAAGAAUGAACUGUUCAGCAACUUGUAAAGAAGAAAGAACCUUCGCUAAUCUCAGCUUCAGCUUUAAUAACCUCAGAAAAUGUUAAUUUCUUUGGUAAUUUUGUUUUCCCAAGCCCCGUUGAGUCUUAACCUGGUACAUUCAGAGGGCUGAGUCCUUCCCUGUUUCCGUUUCCCCUUUUGUUCAAAUCCAGGUCAGGUCAGGUCAGGUCAUCAUUGGCCUGGCUUUUGUUAGUCGAGCAGGGUAUUGAGCCCUCCCCCGGCCCACUCUGAUUAGAACUUUUGCGCAGACUCUGUGUUUGUGCUGCCUAACCCAGGAGCUGUGCAUGGUGUGUUGGAAUCCCACAGGCAUCUGUCACUGUCUGCUCCUGAUGCCAGCACUCACUUGGGCAGGGGCAGCGCUUUGGGGCUGGGGACACUCUCCUGUCUUCACCUCUCUCAAGUCUCUCUGCUACCCAGUUGCAGAGCUUUUUGUGAACAGUGUGUGCAGUUUAAGACCAGACUUCAUCACACAGUCCUGAGUUUAACCAGGUCACCUUGAAUAAAAGCAGGACACAUUUACAAUCUCUUCAAACAACUAAGUCCUGCGCUGUGAACACUGAACCAUUCUUUCACAAACCUGGUGAUUUUUGGAGUUUUGUUCCUUCCUCCUCAUGAACAGAAGGUUUUGAAUCUCUAUCAAGAUCUGUUUGAAAUUACCCACACAAAUUACCUAUUAAAGAACCCAUAGUUCUGCCAAUGACAAGAUCAAAUUUUGCGUCUCAUUUUUCUCUAAUCUGUUACGUGCAAUUAUGAUGUCUUUUUUUAAAAUUUAGAUUCUUCAGUAUUAAAAUCGAGUCUAAUCUGCAAACUGCAAUCGGCAAACAUUAGCAAAGAACUUAUUUAGUUUGUGUUACUAGACAAGGCUUUGGUAGGGGGCGAUGGCUGCUUUCUAGAUGAUAAAGAUGUACGAAUUAGUGCUGACAAACCACAAAGUCCAUGCGAAGAUGCUUAUGUCUCAGUGGCCUGUGUUGACCUUGGGCAGGUGGCUACCCAUCAGAACUGCAUGGAUAUUGGUCACGGUCCCAAUCCAAGCUCCAAUGAAUUGUAGAGGAGUGUAGAUUUCUCUUGAAAGUGGAUGUGGAGCCAUUUUGCCAACACUCUCUAAAUGAUUCAGGUUACUGGAACGUGUUGCCAUACAAGACCUUAAUUUGGACGUUCAUUUAGAGUAUAAUUCAAACCAUGGAAUCUCAUCCCUUCUUACCAUAUUCCUUCAUCCCAUUUCUUUCCCAUCUGCUGUUUAGUUUUCAGGUCUCCUUCUCAAAGACCAACCUUACUCACAGUCAGUGUCGGUGCUGGUGAAUGAUGCUUUGAGUCAGAUCACAGCAAGGUAUAAACUGGCCCUGCAGGUUAUGAGAUAACUGCUCGCCUAUGUAUGUUUGGGGAGAGUGGAAGUCAUUUUUGGUCUUUUCACCCCUUCCACCAGAAUGUGCCAUUGAGUCCAGUUAAUCUGCUUUGAACAGUCUGAUCCAGUUAGUGAUACUUUGAUUUCUCAUUCCCUGUUUGACUCUUGUGACAGGAGGUUAUGAUCUGUCCGUUAAUGUUGAUUGUUGGGUUUACCUUUUCAUUUGGAAACAUUCUCUGGGAUCAGGUAUUAAAGGGACUUGUUUAUUUGCUCUUAACUGUCAACAUCAUCAUCUUUUGGUUUUUGUUGCAUUUUGGGUGUUUUAUUAACUCGUUCCAUCCAGUUCACAAUACUCUUGUCUCCCCCUGUACUUUAGAUGUCAUCAUGAUUGACUGAAUGCUGCCCGUAGUUUUCUCACCAUCAAUGAUGUGAAUGAUCUACUUUCAUUUGGCACAAGCGAGUUCUGAUCUGAAAAGAUUCCAGAACCUGGAAAUCUGACAGGCUUGCCAUUUGCUUUCAAAGGGGCUUUCAAUUUGGUUUUUAAUUUAGUUCAAUAAAAGCUAGGUUUAGAAAUCAGCAUUGAUUAGACGAGAGUGACCUCCUCAGCGCCUCACUGUGGCGAGUUGUAAGGAGUAGUUUAGGUCAGUCACAGUAAUGUGUAAACCUGCAAAGACACAGACUCUAGUAUGACAGCUGGAAACUCUCAGUUUCUAAUUUCUAAUUGUGUUAUGGUCUUGGGUUGUUUUGGUUGAGGUCAGAGACUUUAUACCCCAGCCUUUAUAGUUUAACCCUCAGGAUCUCUUCUCAAGAUGAUGCCUGGGACUUGUGACAAGGACCCUGCCUGACUUAUAAGAUGAAUGGUUUCUCAAGGGAUUCACAUAUUACCCUGGGGUGCAGUGCUUCAACACCAAUUUUAAGAGUUGCUGGAUUUAGUCCCAGUUUUGGGUAGUACAUCAAGGAUUAAUCUUGGUACAGUCAUGGUCUAUGUCCAAAUAUGGCAUUAUAUCUCAUCGCUCUGUUUUAGGUUGCAUUUUCCUUCUUACAUGACAGUCUGUACACUUUAUAAUUUUCUUUAAAAAAGCUUCUGACCUAUAUUGGUGGUAAGAUGGAAACAUUUCUUUGAAAGUGAAAUGCCUAUUAUAGCCCCGGGAAACCUCAGCUGAGAUUAAUCCUUCGUGUACGUGUUUCUCUUUGUUGUUAGUUUUGAUUUUGUCAGUGCACUGUGUUUGAUGGCAUUGGAGCACAUGUAGUCCGAUUUAAUUAGCACAGGUUCUAAGUUAGAGACAUUGCAAGUUGUAGAGAAGAGUUUUAUUCCUGUGUAUAAAAGGCAGAGAUCAAAGUAUUGCUGUGUAGCUUCAUGUGAAAUAGCAGAACGAUUUGUUGUCCAAAUUCAAACACAAAUAAUUUUUAGAAACUAUAUUUUUACCAAUGUCUGUAAAUUUUAAGGAAUAAAAGUUAAAAUCAAA